AACGAACGCUGGCGGCAUGCCUAAUACAUGCAAGUCGAGCGAACAGAUGAAGUGCUUGCACUUCUGACGUUAGCGGCGAACGGGUGAGUAACACGUAAGGAAUCUACCUAUAAGCGGGGGAUAACAUUCGGAAACGGGUGCUAAUACCGCAUAACAUCUUCUUCCGCAUGGAAGAAGAUUGAAAGACGGCUCUGCCGUCACUUAUAGAUGACCUUGCGGUGCAUUAGUUAGUUGGUGGGGUAAUGGCCUACCAAGACGAUGAUGCAUAGCCGACCUGAGAGGGUGAUCGGCCACAUUGGGACUGAGACACGGCCCAAACUCCUACGGGAGGCAGCAGUAGGGAAUCUUCCGCAAUGGGCGAAAGCCUGACGGAGCAAUGCCGCGUGAGUGAAGAAGGCCUUCGGGUCGUAAAACUCUGUUAUAAGAGAAGAACAAAUUGUAGAGUAACUGCUACAGUCUUGACGGUAUCUUAUCAGAAAGCCACGGCUAACUACGUGCCAGCAGCCGCAGUAA
RNAcentral lists this ribosomal RNA (513 nucleotides) under uncultured bacterium. Its description in RNAcentral is "partial 16S ribosomal RNA". It matches the Rfam family "Bacterial small subunit ribosomal RNA", at positions 29 to 523 of the family's 1533-position model. The record is from RNAcentral.